UGGGGGAAUGGCUGAUUAUUACAGAGACAGUGUUGCUAUUGGAGCUUUUUCCGCGAUGGAGAAAGGGAUUUUAGUUUCUUGCUCUGCUGGUAACGCGGGUCCUAGUCCUUACAGUCUCUCAAACGUGGCACCUUGGAUUACUACCGUGGGUGCUGGCACUCUGGAUCGUGACUUCCCGGCUUAUGUUUCUCUAGGGAACGGGCUUAACUUCUCCGGCGUGUCGCUCUACCGAGGUAACGCUUUACCCGAUUCCCCGCUACCGUUUGUUUACGCAGGGAAUGCAAGCAACGCCACGAACGGGAACCUG
Molecule: long non-coding RNA, 307 nt
Filed under: Phaseolus vulgaris (common bean)
Lineage: Eukaryota; Viridiplantae; Streptophyta; Magnoliopsida; Fabales; Fabaceae
Description: long non-coding RNA (PVUL_LNC004210)
Source: RNAcentral